GUUGACCUCGGAUCAGGUAGGGAUACCCGCUGAACUUAAGCAUAUCAAUAAGCGGAGGAAAAGAAACCAACAGGGAUUGCUCUAGUAACGGCGAGUGAAGCAGCAAUAGCUCAAAUUUGAAAUCUGGCGUCUUCGGCGUCCGAGUUGUAAUUUGUAGAGGAUGCUUCUGAGUAACCACCGACCUAAGUUCCUUGGAACAGGACGUCAUAGAGGGUGAGAAUCCCGUAUGCGGUCGGAAAGGUGCUCUACACGUAGCUCCUUCGACGAGUCGAGUUGUUUGGGAAUGCAGCUCUAAAUGGGAGGUAAAUUUCUUCUAAAGCUAAAUAUUGGCCAGAGACCGAUAGCGCACAAGUAGAGUGAUCGAAAGAUGAAAAGCACUUUGGAAAGAGAGUUAAAAAGCACGUGAAAUUGUUAAAAGGGAAGGGAUUGCAACCAGACUUGCUCGCGGUGUUCCGCCGGUCUUCUGACCGGUCUACUCGCCGCGUUGCAGGCCAGCAUCGUCUGGUGCCGCUGGAUAAGACUUGAGGAAUGUAGCUCCCUCGGGAGUGUUAUAGCCUCUUGUGAUGCAGCGAGCGCCGGGCGAGGUCCGCGCUUCGGCUAGGAUGCUGGCGUAAUGGUCGUAAUCCGCCCGUCUUGAAACACGGACCAAGGAGUCUAACAUCUAUGCGAGUGUUCGGGUGUCAAACCCCUACGCGUAAUGAAAGUGAACGGAGGUGAGAACCGCAAGGUGCAUCAUCGACCGAUCCUGAUGUCUUCGGAUGGAUUUGAGUAUGAGCAUAGCUGUUGGGACCCGAAAGAUGGUGAACUAUGCCUGAAUAGGGUGAAGCCAGAGGAAACUCUGGUGGAGGCUCGCAGCGGUUCUGACGUGCAAAUCGAUCGUCAAAUUUGGGUAUAGGGGCGAAAGACUAAUCGAACCAUCUAGUAGCUGGUU
Molecule: ribosomal RNA, 931 nt
Filed under: Cladosporium perangustum
Lineage: Eukaryota; Fungi; Ascomycota; Dothideomycetes; Cladosporiales; Cladosporiaceae
Description: eukaryotic LSU rRNA
Rfam family: Eukaryotic large subunit ribosomal RNA
Source: RNAcentral